Long non-coding RNA from Acinonyx jubatus (cheetah), 6901 nucleotides. RefSeq lists it as uncharacterized. The record is from RefSeq and is a predicted model, not a curated record. The transcript is spliced from 5 exons. NCBI's taxonomy places the organism in Eukaryota, Metazoa, Chordata, Mammalia, Carnivora, Felidae.
GUUCAGGGAGGAGUUUAGGGAGGGUAUCGGACAGUCAGAGGAGAGCCUAAAGUAGCACAAAGGCGGUAGCCACACUCAUCAUGGCGGCCAAAGGGCGACCGAGCGGAGGGGGGCGGAGCCACUCCUGGCGGUUGGGGCACGUUGCCGUCUCCGUCGUCGCAUUUAUUGGUUUGUUUGAGAAGGAAUCAGAAAGGCAAUGGGUGGAAGUGGACGUCGGUCAAAGUUAGUCCCGCCUCCAGACUCUCAACGCGCUUCUCAGCGCCGGGACUCCUUCAAGAUCGCCAGUGCCUUCCUUGCUCGGUUUGCCCUUUUCUCCGGGGUGACGUCACGGCGUAGCCGUCACAGCCUCGAGACGUGCGAACGGGUCCGCAGGGUGUGGAGAAGGUGGAGGGUGCAGUUGGGUGAGGUAGCCUUGGGGUGUGGACUCCUGCCUGCUGGGCUGAAAGGCCUUGAGCUACGGGACGCAAUGGAACUGGGAAGCUUACCGUUUGACGACGCUUGUUCCAAGGCGGAAGUGCUCGCUGCAGCCUCUGUCGCCGCCCUCUCUGUAGCCUUGUUGGGCUGGGUGGGGAGUUCCUGCCCAUUCUCAACUUUGGGUCCAGAGCUCAAAUGACCACCCAUCUUGGGAGCCUCGAAGAGUUGGGCUUUUUUCCCCCUGCCGCGGCUUGGGCCAUUAAGCAAGUGAAAUUCGGCCCAUGCGGUUUGGCGUCGUUUCAAGGGCCUUGACUUUUGUGUCACCUCUCUGAAUUUGAGUUUUCUCUGGUUGACCACGUAGGUCCACUGGGGAAGUUCUUGAGGUGAAAACUGAUCGCGCUCGGCAAAAUGAAAAAGGUUCAGCAUGUUUGGGGCUGGGUGCGAAACCGUUCCCUCUUGGACAUAUUUCAGACCCAAUAGUAGUCGUUAAGGAAGAGACCUUCACCCAGGCCCUGCCAGGCCCUGGAAGCCCGUGCUGAGCUCUGCGGGAGGAGGGCCGCCGACCCCGAAAGUAGUCAACUAGGGGUUGCGGAAAUGGAGCUGUUAGGUUUACACCUGGUUGGUGGGACUGGAGGACGUUUCAUGAAGGAGGUAGCAUUCGUACCGGACCUCGUAAAGGUAACGUGAUUCCAACAGGUGGGAGUUGAGAACCUAGACUAUUCUGGUUACAGACGAGGGGCCAUUUCCCAAGUUUGAAAGAACCCAGGCCUUGCUGUAGAAACUGGUUUCUGCCAUUACUACUGACACCUUUCCUGCCGUGUGUUGCCUUUCUUUUUGCAGGGAGAAGAGGGAUGAUGAUUAAAUACAUCAGAUAAGAGCUAAACCUGAUGGGAAAGAUUAGAGAGAUCAAGGGCCUCCUUGGACUCUUCCCCUGGACCCUCUGCAUCCAGCCGGCUGGUUAGCUAAGAGAGAGAAAACCACGAAGGGUAGUGAACGCUGGAAAUGGUGUCAGUUAUUUCUUCCCACGUCGUGUUGGUCUGACCCAGUUGUCCGGCCCCAACCUGAGUCAAGCAAACUGGGACAUGGCUUCCUAUGUGCUCAGGAGGAAGAAAUGGGAAUGAUGAGCAUCUGGCCAAUCUCUGCUGCAACUGCUAAUUUUGGUGGCCUCCAGGCCAGAGCUACUGACUUGCUGAGGAAGAGAUGUAGGAGGAUUAUACUCUUGUACACAUUGGAUUUUAUAAAUCCAAAUAUUACCUCUUCAAAUAAAUUAAAAAAGAGGAGACUGGUGGAAUUAUGGGUCAUCCAUACCAUGAAAGAGUGAAGUACAUCUGUACAUACUGGAAUGGAAUGAUCUUCAGUGAAGAUGGGCAACAUUUAAAAGCCAGAGAAUACCAAGUGCUGGCCGAAAUAAAGAGCCGCCGAAACUCUCAGACCUUGCUAGGUGGAAUGUCACCGGAUGCAACCUCUUUGCAAAGCAGGCAUGUGGACAGAAGAAGCAGACGAGGGAAAGGAAGCAGGGCAGGCAGGCUCCAGGGUUCUCAUUUCCCCGUCUAUCUCCCCAAUCCAUCUAGAUCUUGACCAGGGGAAGCUACAGAAGACAGAUACAGAGAAUACAAAGAACCCAAGAGCAUCAGAGGCUUGUGGACCACUUCCCCAGGCCACUGCCAUGAUAAUGUGCUUAUUUGUGAGGACACUGCCUGUUAUGGACUGCCAGGGUCCCAUUUCACCACAGCAAGGAGGUUAUCCAUGCCUUCCUCAUAUACAUGAGCAGCUCAAUUCUGGAACCCUAUUUUUUUUUCAACAAUUCUAUACAUUACUGCUCACCACACUAAGUAGGGUUACCAUCUGUCACCAUACAGUAUUAUUACGGUAUUAUUGACUGUACUCCCCAUGCUGUACUUUUUGUCUCCAUGACUUAUUUGUUUUAUAACUGGAAUUUUGUGCCUCUUAAUACCUUUAAUACCUUAAUGCCUUUCAUCUGUUUCAUCCGUCCUCCCCACCCACCUCCCCUCUGGCAACCACCAGUUUGUUCUCUGCAUUUAUGAGCUUUUUCUGUUUUUUGGUUUGUUUAUUAUUUGCUUGUUUGUAUGUUUUGCUUUUUAAAUUCCACGCGUAAGUGAAAUCUUACCAUAUUUGUCUUUGUCUGUCUGACUUAUCUCACUUAGCGUAGUACCCUCUAGGUCCAUCCAUGUUGUCACAAAUAGUAAGAUCUCAUUCUUUUUUUUAAGUCUGAGUAAUAGUCCAUGGUUAUAUACCACAUGUUCUUCUUUUUUUAAUGUUUAUUUUUUAUUUUUUUAAACAUUUAUUUAUUAUUGAGAGACAGAGAGAGACAGAUCGUGAGCAGGGGAGGGGCAGAGAGAGAGGGAGACACAGAAUCCCAAGCAGGCUCCGGGCUCUGAGCUCGGCACAGAGCCCGACGCCGGGCUCGAACUCACAUAGCGUGAGAUUAUGACCUGAGCCAAAGUCCGACGCUCAACCGACUGAGCCACCCAGGUGCCCCUAUACCAAAUGUUCUUUAUCCACGGAAUCAUUUUUCCCCCCAUGGAAUCUUAUUUCAAAGCCACUUCUAAUACCAAUGAUUGUACUAGUCAGGUCCCAAAAGGAAGUAAGUGGCACACUCAAAAUGGAUAACUUGAGGAGAGUUUGAUAAAGGAGGUUUUUGCAGAGUCAUGGUCAGGGAAUAGGGAAUCCAAAAAGAAUGUGCAGUAGUCCAGGAUUGGCAACCUUGGGGAGCAAAACAGCCCUAGGCCAUGAAGGAGCAAGGAGACAGGGGACUACUGGGACCAGAGAAGGUAAGUGAAGGAGAAAGCUACCUGAAAGUAGCUAUAGCCUUUGAUAGAAAGGAAGUUAGCCCUCAGCAAGCUCUCAAGAAGGGAGGCAAGCAAAUAAAUACUCCGACUUCCAUCUCUUCCUACUCUCUGAUCUCCUGCUGGUGCCUCCCAUUGGCCAACAGAAAACCAGUGGGCAAAGGGAGCCUACUGAUGUCAUCCUUGAAGGUCAAUACUCUGAGGCACAGAGCCUGGUGGAGAACAAGGGGAGGAGAAGGGGAGGAGGAGACCUAUCUAUGUAGCACACAACCCAAACAAGUUAAACGGGGAAUUUACUGGUUCUUGCAAAGUCAAGCUGUAAGGCUUGAAGCAAGGGCUCAAAUGAAGUCAUCAGUGUCUGGUUUUUCCUCCAUGCACAGGUUUCAUAUACAGGCAGGCUCUCCCAUCAUGCUCCAAAAUGGCUCCAGAAUGCACAGCCUUUUUCAUUCAAAUGUAGUGGAAUCUAUCAAAGGAUUCAUUGGGUCUCGUUGACUCUCAUUGGGUCACAUGAAAUGCCUGAACCAACCGCAGUGCUUGGCAUCAAAGGGAAGUGCUGCUUGGCUUAGAUCUCCGGAGCUAGGACUGGGUGAAAUCAUGGCAUGGAACCUGGAUGACUAGGGAAAAGUUGUUAUUGAAUAGCCAAAAUGCUACAUACCCUGUAUCUUCUUUUAAUGGUUGAAGCAGAACUUUUCCAUUUUUUUGUAUGUGUGGAUCAUCUGGAGAUCCUGUUAAAAAGUGCGGAAUCUGAUGAAGUAGGUCUGGGGUGGGGCAAAUUAAUUUCAUCUGUUUCUUUUUACUUUUUUAACGUGGUUACUAGAGAAUUAAAAAAUACAUGGUUUCUGUUGGAUAGUGCUACCCUAGAAGGAGGUAAUGAAGCGGAUGAAGGUGUUGAUCUUGAAACACAUUCAUUUUCGCUUAUGAAUACUCAAUCAGAAGAACCAAAUAUAGCAGAGACCACAUGAGACUUACCUCAUGGGUCCUUGGACUUGGUCCACCCUCAGGACCUCAGGGUUAUGUGGUUGCAGGUUGAAGUAAUGCAUGAGUGCUUAGGAUAGAGGACACUGGAACGAGCCUGGUACGGUUUGAUCUGAGGAAAGAGGAAAUGCUGGGGAUCCCAGAGUUGCUCCCCCCAACCAGCAGUCACUUCAUUUCCCAUUUUUGUUUACGCAGUUGUCUGAAUUACAGGAAUUACAACUGUGCUUAUCAACUUCCCUGAUCUGUCCUGCACACAUCCACUCAACUGGUCUCUGCACUCCCUUUUAGCCCUUUCCUGCCCAGACAUAUGCACCCAGCUGCAGUCUGCUUUCUAGGAACUCCCUACUGAACCCAGAAUGUCUUGUCCUACCAGUCCACAGGCCCCCAAAUGUGUCUCUCACUUUCCCCAUCUAAGUUAUUCCCUUACUGCUUGAAGCUCUGUCUCCACCAGCUCCACCUUUCAAAGCCCACAUCAAGGUUAUCUUCCUCCAGAGAGGCCUUUUCAAGACCUGGCCCACAGAAGCCUGCCUUCAGAACUUGUAGGACAUGCUGUCUUUGGCCAGCGUAUCUGCUAUAGAGGGCUGUGUUGUCUAACUCUUAAGUUAUUAGGGUUUUCCUGCAUUUGUGCCUUGAUUCUCUGGGCUGUAAGUUCCUUGAGGACAGAGCCCUGUUUAGUUUAUAUUUGAAUUCUCCUUUUGACCAGGGCCUGUAUAAUAAAUAGAUCCUCAAAAAAUAUAAUUUGGCUCAUUUUCCCAAUACAAAACAAAAUGCUAGUUGAAAAUACAUAGACUUUUAUAUGAAAUAUAUGCAUAAACAUAUAUUUUCAGUGAUCAUUUUUGUAAUGAAGAGUAUUCUUUUUUAAAAACAAGAUAGUAGAUAAAGGCUGCGGGGAUGUGGAGAAAAGGGGCCCCUUGCGCACUGUUGGUGAGAGUGCAGAGUGCAAAUUUCCAAUAAGCCAGUUGGAAAGCAAUUCCACUUCUGGGUAUAUGUCCAAAGGAAAUGAAAACACUGUGUCAAAGAGGUAUCCGCACCUUCAUGUUCAUAGCCUUAUUUAUAAUGACCAAGGCCUAGAAACAACCUAGGUGCCCACUGAUGUGUGAAUGGAUAAAGAAGUUGUGGUAUCUAUAUACACAAUGAAACAUUUAGCAAUAAAUCCUGCCAUUUGAGACAACACAGAUGAUCCUAGAGGGGAUUAUGCUAAAUGAAAAUAAGUAAGGCAGAGAAAGACAAAUACUGCAUGAUCUCACUUACAUAUGGAAUCAAAACGAAGAACCAAGCUCAUAGAGAUCAGAUUUGUGGCAACCACAGGUGGGAGGUGGGGAGGGGGAGGGUUGAACUGGAUGAAGGUGGUCAAAAGGUAGAGACUUCCAGUUAUAAAAUAAAUAAGCACGGGGGAUAUAAUGUAGAACACAAUGACUAAUGACUAUGGUUAACACUGCUGUAUAGUAUAUUGAAACUUGUUAAAAAGAGUGGAUUUUAAGAGCUCUCUUCAUAAGUAAAAAGGUCUUUUUUUAAAUCCAUAUGGGAUGAUGAAUGUUAACUCACUGUGGUGAUCAUUUGCAUUGUAUGUAAGGAAAGUCAUUAUGCUGUAUACCUUAAACUUACAUAGUGUUAUAUGUGAAUUACAUUUCAGUCAGACUGGGGGAAUAAGCAAGAUGGAAAAUUAACUUUAAUCAUUGCAUAAACUUUUUUUUACUUCAUUUUUAUGUUAAUUUUUUUCAAUGCUUAAUUUAUUUUGAGAGAGAGAGCACACGUGCACACACGUGCACAGGGAGCAGCAGAAAGAGGGGGAGAGGGAGAAUCCCAAGCAGGCUCUGUGCUGUCAGCAUGGAGCCCAACUUGGGGCUCCAUCUCAUGAACUGUGAAAUCAUGACCUGAGCCAAAAUCAAGAGUCAGAUGCUUAACUGACUUGAGCCACCCAGGUGCCCCAAUUUUUUAUGUUAAAUUUUUAAAAAACUGUUUUAUCUUGGGAUAAUUAUAGAUUCACAGGAAGUUGUAAGAGUAGUACAGAGUGUUUUUUGGGCCUUCUCUACAAUUUCCCCCAAUGGAUAUAUCUUAGGGAAUUGAGAUACAAUAUCAAACCAAGAACUUGACAUUGGUACAGCUUGUGUGUAUAGUUCUUUGCCACUUUAUCACAUGUAUAGAUCUGUGUAAACAGCACUGCAAUCAGGAUACAAAACUCUUACCUUUAAGAUCUCCCUUGGCUCCCUCUUUAUAGACUACCCAUUCCCCUUCCGCCAGCAGCCCUAACACCUGACUAAUCUAAUCUAUUCUCCACUGGUCAUUGUAAGUAGACGUUCGUCUUGACUUAUUUUUGAUGCAUAGAGAGUGUUUCUUUGUAUAGAUAUUUAGUAGGUACUCGGUAUAGUAUUGUAUGUACAUAAUUUAUCUCAGUUCUCCUUGUGUUCACAUUACUGGUUUCAGUGAGGUGUCAAAACUUUCUUCCCUUCAGGUCCCUUUACCUGCCCCUGUUUGUAAUCGUCUUAAAUAUUUCCUCUGCAUUAAUUGAGAACCAUAUCAGACAAUGCAUGAGUGUGUGGGAGAGGGAACCCUAGACUGGGCCAGGUGAGCUUUGUUCUUCUGAGGAAAGAGGAAAUUGUAGGAGCCACAGAAUCCCUCCUCCUGGCCAGCAGUCACUCCAUUUCUCCUUUCCAUUGUGCAGUUGCUUGAAGGAGAAAUUAUCACCAUACUUAUCAACUCCCCUA